Molecule: ribosomal RNA, 767 nt
Filed under: Listeria monocytogenes
Lineage: Bacteria; Bacillati; Bacillota; Bacilli; Caryophanales; Listeriaceae
Description: bacterial LSU rRNA
Rfam family: Bacterial large subunit ribosomal RNA
Source: RNAcentral
AAGGAAAUUAAGUACGGAAGUUCCUGAUUUCACGCUGUCAAGAAAAGCCUCUAGGAAGAGUAGUACUGCCCGUACCGCAAACCGACACAGGUAGAUGAGGAGAGAAUCCUAAGGUGAGCGAGAGAACUCUCGUUAAGGAACUCGGCAAAAUGACCCCGUAACUUCGGGAGAAGGGGUGCUCUAUUAGGGUGCAAGCCCGAGAGAGCCGCAGUGAAUAGGCCCAGGCGACUGUUUAGCAAAAACACAGGUCUCUGCAAAACCGUAAGGUGACGUAUAGGGGCUGACGCCUGCCCGGUGCUGGAAGGUUAAGAGGAGUGCUUAGCUUCGGCGAAGGUACGAAUUGAAGCCCCAGUAAACGGCGGCCGUAACUAUAACGGUCCUAAGGUAGCGAAAUUCCUUGUCGGGUAAGUUCCGACCCGCACGAAAGGCGCAACGAUCUGGGCACUGUCUCAACGAGAGACUCGGUGAAAUUAUAGUACCUGUGAAGAUGCAGGUUACCCGCGACAGGACGGAAAGACCCCGUGGAGCUUUACUGCAACCUGAUAUGGAAUGUUUGUACCGCUUGUACAGGAUAGGUAGGAGCCGAAGAGACGUGUGCGCUAGCAUACGAGGAGGCAAUGGUGGGAUACUACCCUGGCUGUAUGACCAUUCUAACCCGCCACGCUUAGCGCGUGGGGAGACAGUGUCAGGUGGGCAGUUUGACUGGGGCGGUCGCCUCCUAAAGAGUAACGGAGGCGCCCAAAGGUUCCCUCAGAAUGGAUGGAAAU